Oncorhynchus keta (chum salmon) is the source of this 1157-nucleotide long non-coding RNA. RefSeq lists it as uncharacterized. The transcript is spliced from 3 exons. NCBI's taxonomy places the organism in Eukaryota, Metazoa, Chordata, Actinopteri, Salmoniformes, Salmonidae. The record is from RefSeq and is a predicted model, not a curated record.
GUUGGGACGGUGGUUAGUUACUCCUAUUGACUGGUAGAGAGGUUAAAGAGGUUGGGACGGUGGUUAGUUACUCCUAUUGACUGGUAGAGAGGUUAAAGAGGUUGGGACGGUGGUUAGUUACUCCUAUUGACUGGUAGAGAGGUUAAAGAGGUUGGGACGGUGGUUAGUUACUCCUAUUGACUGGUAGAGAGGUUAAAGAGGUUGGGACGGUGGUUAGUUACUCCUAUUGACUGGUAGAGAGGUUAAAGAGGUUGGGACGGUGGUUAGUUACUCCUAUUGACUGGUAGAGAGGUUAAAGAGGUUGGGACGGUGGUUAGUUACUCCUAUUGACUGGUAGAGAGGUUAAAGAGGUUGGGACGGUGGUUAGUUACUCCUAUUGACUGGUAGAGAGGUUAAAGAGGUUGGGACGGUGGUUAGUUACUCCUAUUGACUGGUAGAGAGGUUAAAGAGGUUGGGACGGUGGUUAGUUACUCCUAUUGACUGGUAGAGAGGUUAAAGAGGUUGGGACGGUGGUUAGUUACUCCUAUUGACUGGUAGAGAGGUUAAAGAGGUUGGGACGGUGGUUAGUUACUCCUAUUGACUGGUAGAGAGGUUAAAGAGGUUGGGACGGUGGUUAGUUACUCCUAUUGACUGGUAGAGAGGUUAAAGAGGUUGGGACGGUGGUUAGUUACUCCUAUUGACUGGUAGAGAGGUUAAAGAGGUUGGGACGGUGGUUAGUUACUCCUAUUGACUGGUAGAGAGGUUAAAGAGGUUGGGACGGUGGUUAGUUACUCCUAUUGACUGGUAGAGAGGUUAAAGAGGUUGGGACGGUGGUUAGUUACUCCUAUUGACUGGUAGAGAGGUUAAAGAGGUUGGGACGGUGGUUAGUUACUCCUAUUGACUGGUAGAGAGGUUAAAGAGGUUGGGACGGUGGUUAGUUACUCCUAUUGACUGGUAGAGAGGUUAAAGAGGUUGGGACGGUGGUUAGUUACUCCUAUUGACUGGUAGAGAGGUUAAAGAGGUUGGGACGGUGGUUAGUUACUCCUAUUGACUGGUAGAGAGGUUAAAGAGGUUGGGACGGUGGUUAGUUACUCCUAUUGACUGGUAGAGAGGUUAAAGAGGUUGGGACGGUGGUUAGUUACUCCUAUUGACUGGUAGAGAGGUUAAAGAGGUUGGGA